AUUAGGCCUGGCUCCACUAUUUCCCUUUAUCUUCCCAUCCUACUCUGUUGCUUUCUUCAUCAAGAUGCUGAAGUUUUGGUCCAUGUCUUCACAUAUCUGUACCAUGGACUGGCUAGUCCGGGGCCCUGUGUGCAGCUCUGCCUAUGCUGGAAGUGACAUGUAACCAUUCUUCAGCAGAACCAACCUUAACUCACCGACGUGAUGCGGGACCGGCAGCAAAUGACCUCCACACUUAAGGCUUCAGUCUCAUCUGUGAAGUGAAGGGGCUGGGCUAUUUGGCCUCAAAUCCUGAGAUCCUGGGAUCCCUGACUGAUCCUCCAGGUGACUGAGUGCCUUGUGGUUUGGGGAUCACCAUUGCCAGAUGCCCUCACGGACCUAGGAUGGACGAGUUCAGGUCCAUGGCUGGAUCGGGGCAAAUGGGACACCAGAGCCAGGAGAAGGGUCAGGAAGACUCUUUAGAUCCUAAGUCAGAAGAAAAUGGGAAUGGCGCUUCACCAGGCUUCCUGGCUUUUCUCUUUCCAAGUGGCAGGAGGCCUGCCCCCCUGCUGGCAGACAGGGAGGGUCAGUGUGUGGCCACCGCUGCCCACUCCUUCUACAAUCUCUUCACUGAGCGCUCCGUGAUGGGCUCAACAUGGUGGGCAGAAGGCAGCAUGGGCCACAGCCCACCCAGAUACCUCUGGGCCUGCAUUUUGUUCUGUGAAGAAUGGAGGAGAAUUGUCUUUCUUUUUUAGGGUUCAGGAGGACAGAAUUGGACCACGUUUCCUGUACUCCCUUCUGUCACAGAACUCUCCUAUGCAUUUGUAACGGUUUGCACCUCUCCUUCCUUUACUGGAUGUGAGCCCUCCCAGGAGGGACUGUCUUACGCUCAAUGUUCCCUGUACCUGGUACAGCCCCUCCAUAAAUGUGCAUUUGGACCCUUGUUUUCCACCACAGGCAGUCAUGACUGCUAGUGAAGAUCAGGGCUGGCCACACGCCAGAAGUCAAGACUGGCUUGAUAUCUAAACUUCCAGUAGGAAAGGAUGAUAAGAAUAUCUAAGAGUGAGCGUAGGUCUGUUUGCUUUCCAGCAUGGCUGUGUGAACGAACAUCUGCUCCUGUAUCUCUUCUUGCCUAUUCUUUACUACCUUUUUGUAGUUAUUCUGUGUGUGUGUGAAUGGGCUGAUGGAGAGGGCUACGUGUAUAUGUCUAAAUAUUUGUUCAAAUGUACAUGCAUGAUCCAUUUGGUAUUCUCUUUGUGUUAUUUGCUUGUCUUUUCUGUAAGUCUCUGUAAGUGCCACACAGUAAUAAAAGCCUCCUGGGAUCAAUACUUCUUCUAUCCCCAAUGGGAGAUGUGGAAGUUCACUGACAAUUUCUGAAUGUUUCAUGUUUCA
Long non-coding RNA from Nyctereutes procyonoides (raccoon dog), 1368 nucleotides. RefSeq lists it as uncharacterized. Lineage: Eukaryota; Metazoa; Chordata; Mammalia; Carnivora; Canidae. The transcript is spliced from 3 exons. The record is from RefSeq and is a predicted model, not a curated record.